UCGCGGGCGCAGGCGGCGGGCCUCCCUCGCCGGGGCGCUGCAUCUGGGCCAGUCCCGCCCGCAGCGCCGGCCCUCCAGGCUGCAGACGGAGCUCCGGCUCCCUGGCUAGAAGCCCGCGGUGGACUUUGAAAGCCGCCCAAGUUAGUGACCAGACUGCACCUUGCGGCCUGUUCUAGAGUUCACGUUGGCGGGGCUCCUUAUUAUAUUAAUGUAUCAUAAUAAUAAUAAUAAUUUAUUAUUUAUACCCCGCCCAUCUGGCUGGGCCUCCCCAGCCACUCUGGGCUGCUUCCAUAGAAACCAAAAAUACUGUACACUAAAAUAUCACACGUUAAAAACUUCCCUGAACAGGGCUGCCUUCAGAUGUCUUCUGAAUGUCAGGUAGUUGUUUAUCGCUUUACAUCUGCUGGGAGGGCGUUCCACAGGGCGGGCGCCACCACCGAGAAGGCCCUCUGCCUGGUUCCCUGUAACUUGGCUUCUUGCAGUGAGGGAACCGGCAGAAGGCCCUCGGUGCUGGACCUCAGUAUCCGGGCUGAACAAUGGGGGAGGAGACACUCCUUCAGAUAUACUGGACCGAGGCCGUUUAGGGCUUUAAAGGUCAGCACCAACACUUUGAAUUGUGCUCGGAAACGUACUGGGAGCCAAUGUAGGUCUUUCAAGACCGGUGUUAUGUGGUCUUGGCGGCCGCUCCCAGUCACCAGUCUAGCUGCCGCGUUCUGGAUUAGUUGUAGUUUCCGAGUCACCUUCAAAGGUGAAGUAGAGCGCACGUAGAGCGCAUUGCAGGAGUCCAAGCGGGAGAUAACCAGAGCAUGCAGAUAGGGUCUCAGCCUACGUACCAGAUGGAGCUGGUAAACAGCUGCCCUGGACACAGAUUUGACCUGUGCCUCCAUGGACAGCUGUGAGUCCAAAAUGACUUCCAGGCUGCGCACCUGGUCCUUCAGGGGCACAGUUACCCCAUUCAGGACCAGGGAAUCCUCCACACCUGCCCGCCUCCUGUCCCCCAAAAACAGUACUUCUGUCUUGUCAGGAUUCAGCCUCAAUCUGUUAGCCGCCAUCCAUCCUCCAACCGCCUCCAGGCACUCACACAGGACCUUCACCGCCUUCACUGGUUCUGAUUUUAAAGAGAGGUAGAGCUGGGUAUCAUCUGCAUACUGAUGAACAUCCAGCCCAAACCUCCUGAUGAUCUCUCCCAGCGGCUGCAUGUAAAUGUUGAAAAGCAUGGGGGAGAGGACAGAACCCUGAGGCACCCCACAAGUGAGGGCCCAGGGGUCUGAACACUCAUCCCCCACACCACUUUCUGAGCACGGCCCAGGAGGAAGGAGCGGAACCACUGUAUGACAGUGCCCCCAGCUCCCAGCCCCUCAAGACAGUCCAGAAGGAUGUUAUGGUCGAUGGUGUUAAAGGCCGCUGAGAGAUCCAGCAGAACUAGGAAACAGCUCUCACCUUUGUCCCUAGCCCGCCGCAGAUCAUCAACCAGUGCAACCAAGGCAGUUUCAGUCCCAUGAUGAGGCCUGAAUCCUGACUGGAAGGGAUCCAAAUGGUAUGAACUCAAGGUGGCUUACUAUUAAAACAAACAGCUUAGAACAUACAAAAAUCAAUCAUUAAAAACGGAUUGGUACAAUUAAAAUACAUACAUAUAAAAAGAUCACAUACAGGUAGUUACAAUAAAAACACAGCACCAGCCCUUUCCUUACACAUUGACUGUGAUGUAGGCCCAACUGUAUUCAUCGGAUUUCACACAUUCUCAUUGCCAUAGACUUAUUUAUGCUUUUCAACUUAUCAAGAGUAUCCAGCUUGUUAAUCAAAAGCCUCCCUGGUGCAGCUGGUUGAAGUAAGUGUAUGUUGUCAUGCACACUGAUGGUGCAAUAGGAUUAUUAUUUUUUAAGAUUUGUGAUUCUCUUUAAGACAAGUGAUUCUCAAAGUGGCUUACCAAAAAAACAAACAUACACAAUUCAGCCCAGCAAUGCUCUAAUCUGCCGGCUGGUGUGUGCCCUGCUUCAGCUCUGCAGGUCAAAAAUAGUAUUUUUAAAAUGAUUAAACAUUGGCAACCCACACACAAAACAGCCCAGUGAGGACUGGGUAUGUACCAGGAGCUACAGGGAAAAAAGGUGGAAACCAAGAGGGGGUGAAGGUGAAUUGGGCUGUGUGAGCCCCUAACACCAAUAGUAUUCCAAAGGAAGGCAUGGUUGCCUUGCUGGCUGGAACCCUGAACAGAAUGGCUGUUAGGGGCUGAGGACAUACUGCUACAUUUUGAUGCAUGUCCUGCUUUUAAUGUAUAUUAUUCAGUACAACAAUCUUGGAAAGGAAGGUCGUUAUUCCCAUUGUACAGAUUUUAACUAGUUGUAACUAGGAAACCAUGUGCUUUAAAUGUGCAGGGGUAUGGAGGUAACAAAUUGUCAUGAAUGCACAAUAUAAAGGACAUCUGGAGGGGCCCUUAGCAAAAGCCACGUUGUGCACCCAGGGCUAAGCUGAGAUUUGGACCCAGAUCUCCCAUUCGGCACCAUAUUCAUUAAAGACCACAUCAGCUAUUGCAAACAGAGAUUUGGGGAAGAAAAGAAAAGAAAGUUUCAAUGUGGCUGAUACGGAUUGAGCCAAGCCAGUGCUCUGUUGCAAGGAACACAUUAAGAACCUCUGAAACCUGAUGCAGCUUGAAGGCAGUUUGGGUUGGAUGACAUGGAGCACAGCUGUGGGCUUGUCAGCCAAGGUCAACACAACUCUGUUGGCCCCGUGGGUGGGGGAACACAAAGGAGUGCCCAUUCUCACACCUGGCCAGGGUCCACAUGGUUUGUUUCUUGGUUAACCAUACUUUCUCAGUCCCCACAAGGCAUUCCUGCCUCUUCAUAGCCUAGUCAGAAGUAUCCUGUAUCCCUGAGCAAGGACCCUUCAGGAAGAACACAAGAGCUUUUGUAUUCCACUUUCUUGCAUGUCUACCCAGAAUAAAAAAUGCAUGGGCCUUUGGUUACCAAAUUGAAACGAGGUCUCUCUCCCACCCCCUUCAGCCAAUUUCUGGAAGCUGUGCUUGGCAUAUCUUGCCAAAACCAAGAAACCCAACAUUUGUAUCUAAGUGGAACAUACAGUAAAUCUCUCCCAUUCCCUCUGCUUGCAUCUGCUUGAAACUUGGAGGGGGCCCUCCUGUUCAUCUGUGCGUAGGUGGCUGGAACAGGGUCAGAAAGACCAGACGUUAAGCUUCUCCCCCCCUCCUGCCCCGCUACUGCAGGACCUGCCAAUUGUCUAAGUGACCCAGCAACUUCAAAGACCAGUCAUGCAACACCAGCCUAGUAUGGUAUCCCCAUUUCCAGAGGACAGAUUUACUACUCCUUCAGCCGACGCCCCUUCCUCAAGAGCCAGCACAAGCCCCAUUAAGUCUGCAGAGCCCAUUUCAGAUUUGGAGGCUCCUUCAUUUGCCUGCGUGAUUUAUGAGCUUUCAGGAGUUUUUAAGGAAUUGAGCGUCUUUAACUUGGGAUUUGAAUUUCAUUGGAAAAUAUGAAAGUGAUUAAGAGGAUAGCUCCUUGGAAUGUGGCUUGCGUUCCAGUGCAUGGAGAAAGCAGAUGAGACAGAUCAAUUCCAAAACCGAUGACAUGCCUAAAUUUACUCAUGAAACUCAAGAGAGACAAGAACCGGGCACAACUGCAGCCACAUGGGCAGAGCUGUGUGCUGCCACAAUGUUAAAGGGCUAUGGCAGCUUCCUGAGUUCAAAACCCAGCAGAUACGAUUGCCACCCUGCCUGUGGCAUCGCAGAACAAGCCACAAAGGCCCAUCUGCACUAUAUAUUUAAAGCAGUAUCAUACCACUUUAAAUAACCUUGGCUUCCCCCAAAUAAUCCUUGGAACUAUAGUCAGUUAAAGGCGCUGAGAAUUGUUUGGAGACCCCAGUCCACCUUACGGAACUACAAUUCUCAAAGUGUUUUGACAACCCCUCUCUUUUAGCCCUGUGUGUGGACAGGCCAUUUGUAAUAUAGACAGCUUAGUUUUGGCUACAUAAUGAUGUGGAGCCAAUCCAGCCAUCCUUUUUGUUGUGCAUUUGUGAUGAUUUGUGCUCACGAUGCUGUCAGGGUGGAUAGAUGUGAUCCGGCUUUCAACGCUGUUUGGGCCUGCAAAUGUUUCAGGGUGGCCCUGCUGCUUUGCUUCCAGUCUGUGCUUGUUCCAUAGCUUUCUGAUGAAAUCCUGUCACUUUCCAGACCACAAAUGUUCUGGAGGGGGGAGGAUUGUCUUGUUUUUGCUGCCCCUCCAGACUGCAAUAAUGUUGUAACACUGGGGCAUCACAGAACAACUAAUAAAGUUGAAUGGGGUGUGGAUGGUCCAGUAUAAAUCCACCACGAAUGUGCUAUUAUUGUGUCAAUGACAUAUUGCAGAAGUGCACCCACAAAAAGGCCCUGUCCUGAGGGGCCCCUGACAUUCAGAGAAUGAGCGAGCUGCCUUACCGUAGAAGGGGAGUUUUGUUGGGGAAAAUUUGUUUUUUAAAAGUGAUUGUUUUGUUCAUUUGUUUUCUUCUUUUUUAAUUAAAUUGUUUUGUUUUGUUUUGUUUCAUAUAGCAAUACAGAUGUCUGAGAGAUACAGAAACUAUCAAUGGCUUGCCUGUUUGACAUCGUACAGUCCACAACUUAAGAAAGAAAAUAAUGCAGAGUGAAGAAAUUGUUAUUUCACAGAGAUAAAAACAAUGCUAUGAAUAAUAAGAGCAUGAUUCCAUGGAAGUACAGCAGAGUCGUCAAUAAUUAGUCCUGGAAUACAAUCAAAACUAGAUAACACUAUACUUUGCAGGAACUAGGUUUUUUUUUAAGACUGAAGGUUCUUUUUUUAAAAAAAACUUUGGAUGUGUGUGUGAAUGGCCAGUUCAGGGCACAAGGAAAGCGAGCGGCCCAGUUUCCCCCCAACAGCACUUGUUAUAGAUCCUUGAAAACAUUUGAGAGGCACUUAACAGCAUGUAUCUGUCCUUUAGUUUCAAAUCAAUUGGAUCAAUGUGGCGAGCAUCAUGAGGCCAUAUGGAUUUGUGACAUACACCCAUAACCCUUGCAAAACAGAAAUCAAUUAAUUACCAUCUUCUAUCCAUAAAAUUUCCUUCUUUUGAGACAGAUAACACGUUGUGGAUGUUCUCCAGAUUCAUAGAAUCAUAGAAUUGUAGAUAUUUGCUUUUUGUCAGCAGAGCACAAUGUUCAAAAUAGAGAUAAUGAAAUAAAUUAUGGUAAAUUGUCUAUAUUACAAGUGGGCAACCUGUGACUCAGGAAACACAUAUUCCUCCUAUUUUUAUUUUAUUUUUAUUAUUAUCCUUGGUUCCUCCAAGCAGUUCAAGUUGGUCGCAUGGUUCUCCCCACUCUCAAUUUUAUCCUCAAGGUGGGCUUGAUUGAGAGGCAGCAACUGACCCAAGGUCACCAUUGACUGAAUGAGGAUUUGAACCCUAGGGCCGUAUCCAAUAUUAGUCCUGCUCAGAGUAAAGGUAAAGGGACCCCUGACCAUUAGGUCCAGUCAUGGCCAACUCAGGUUGCGGCGCUCAUCUCGCUUUAUUGGCCAAGGGAGCUGGCGAACAGCUUCCGGGUCAUGUGGCCAGCAUGAUUAAGCCGCUUCUGGCGAACCAGAGUAGUGCAUGGAAACGCCGUUUACCUUCCCGCCAGAGCGGUACCUAUUUAUCUACUUGCACUUUGACGUGCUUUCGAACUGCUAGGUUGGCAGGAGCAGGGGCCGAGCAAUGGGAGCUCACCCCGUCACGGGGAUUCAAACCGCCGACCUUCUGAUCGGCAAGCCCUAGGCUCUGUGGUUUAACCCACAGUGCCACCCGUGUCCCCCCUACUCAGAGUAGGCUUAUUGAAAUUAGUGGGCAUGACUAUCUCAAUUCAUGUAUUGUUUCAGGAAGUGCGAUUUAGGUAGGUUCACCUUUAAAUAAGAACUGAAUCAAAUUUCUUCCCUAAUAGAGGACACUUUCAACUCCUGCUGUAAACUAAAAAAAGAGAGUAGUAAUAUGAUAGAUAUGCUGCCUCCUGAUUUCAGCCACAAAUCCACAGACACACCUUGGUGGAUCACCUAAAUAAAACUAAUGAAUCAGAUUCCUGGAAAUAUGCUAAUAUUACAUUGAUACCAAGGCAAGAUCACAAUCCAACUCAGAUUGGACUAUAGACCCAUUUCCUUGAUCAACUGUGACUACAAACUGUAGUAAUAUUAGCUAGGAGACAAAUUAGUUUUAAAGGAUUAGAUACAUGAAGAUAAAGCUGGAUUUCUCCCAAAAAGAGCAAUAAAGGACAAUGUUAGAACUAUAUUAGAUACUGUAGAAUAUUUUGAAAAGAGAAAUGAUAAGCAAUUAGAUGCAGAGAAGGUGUUCAAUAAUGUGUUUUUUUGGAGUUUCAUGGGGGAAAUAUUGGAUAUAAUGGGCUGGGGGGAGAAAAUUGUGAGAGGGAUAAAGGUAAUAUAUACAGAACAAAUUGCAAGUAUAAUAGUAAAUGGAGUGGUAACAGAAAAGUACACUAUUACAAAGGGCACGAGACAAGGUUGCCCACUAUCACCAUUAUUGUUUAUCUUGAUACUAGAAGUGCAUACAGGAGUACCUGGCAUGCUCUGGUCCAUGGGGUCACGAAGAGUCGGACACGCCUAAACAACAAGAAGUGUUAUGGAGGGAAUUAAGGGGAAAUAGUGAAAUACAAGGUAUGCAAGACUGUUGGAUCUAGAAGGAUAUGGGAACAAUUUGGGUGGCAUGCUUACCUAUGGUACGACAAGGUAAAAGGAAAUAGGGAUUUUUUGAGUCAUUGUAUAAGGAGAAGCUUAUAUUGAGUUUGGACUAGAUACAGAGAUUUAUUUGAAAGGAAAACCCCUUUAUGGUUAUCACCAAUAGUAGCUGGUACAUCAAAGAAAUUAAAUAUGGUGGAGAAGUGGGGUAAAUAUAGAGAUAUAGUGUGGAAAUCUCUGUAAAUUGAAAAAAGAAUAUGAAGACACGAGAUCUUCAUGGAGAUCAAAUUGGUUAUAAUAUCAAAUUAAUGAAUAUUUUUUAAAAGAUUUAGUAAAAGGUUUUACGGACCAAGUAUCUGAUUUUUAAAAGAUUUUGCUUGGAGGAAGAAAAAAGCUGAUUUCAAAAAUGUAUAAACUAUUAUUAGAAUGGGAGAUGAAAGUUGAAAUGGUGAAAUAGGUAAUGAUAAAAUGGGCCAAAGAUUUAGGACCUAAUAUAGAAAUAAACACGUGGGGAAAGUUGUGGACAGUAGAUAUGAACUUCACUGCUUGCUAUGAUUUAAAAGAGAAUUAUAUGAAAAUGAUGUAUAGAUGGUAUUUAACACCAGAUAAAUGAUGUAAAAUGUAUAAGAAGGUCUCCAAUAACUGCUGGAAGUGUAAGCAAGCAGGUGCUCCUUUUUCAUAUAUGGUGGAUUUCCAAAAAAGGGUAUUUUGGAAUAAGAUAUACAAUGAGAUAAAAAAGAUGUUUAAAGUGAGUUUACC
This is a non-coding RNA of Podarcis lilfordi (Lilford's wall lizard), 7403 nucleotides long. Lineage: Eukaryota; Metazoa; Chordata; Lepidosauria; Squamata; Lacertidae. The record is from the annotation of a GenBank genome assembly.